This 262-nucleotide ribosomal RNA is filed under the name Aspergillus nidulans. RNAcentral describes it as "partial 18S ribosomal RNA". The stretch from base 219 to 262 matches the Rfam family "5.8S ribosomal RNA", at positions 1 to 44 of the family's 154-position model. Lineage: Eukaryota; Fungi; Ascomycota; Eurotiomycetes; Eurotiales; Aspergillaceae. The record is from RNAcentral.
CUUCCGUAGGUGAACCUGCGGAAGGAUCAUUACCGAGUGCGGGUCCUUUGGGCCCAACCUCCCAUCCGUGUCUAUUGUACCCUGUUGCUUCGGCGGGCCCGCCGCUUGUCGGCCGCCGGGGGGGCGCCUCUGCCCCCCGGGCCCGUGCCCGCCGGAGACCCCAACACGAACACUGUCUGAAAGCGUGCAGUCUGAGUUGAUUGAAUGCAAUCAGUUAAAACUUUCAACAAUGGAUCUCUUGGUUCCGGCAUCGAUGAAGAAC